This 392-nucleotide ribosomal RNA is filed under the name uncultured bacterium. RNAcentral's name for it is "partial 16S ribosomal RNA". It matches the Rfam family "Bacterial small subunit ribosomal RNA", at positions 523 to 918 of the family's 1533-position model. The record is from RNAcentral.
CUACGGAGGAUCCGAGCGUUAUCCGGAUUUAUUGGGUUUAAAGGGUGCGCAGGCGGCCAUUUAAGUCAGCGGUUAAAUCGUGGGGCUCAACCCCAUUCUGCCGUUGAUACUGGGUGGCUUGAUUGCGGUCGAGGUUGGCGGAAUUCGUUGUGUAGCGGUGAAAUGCAUAGAUAUGACGAAGAACACCGAUUGCGUAGGCAGCUGACCAGACCGCAAAUGACGCUCAUGCACAAAAGUGCGGGGAUCGAACAGGAUUAGAUACCCUGGUAGUCCGCACAGUAAACGAUGAAUACUUGUUUUCGGCGAUAUAAUGUCGGAGGCAAAGCGAAAGCGAUAAGUAUUCCACCUGGGGAGUACGCCGGCAACGGUGAAACUCAAAUGAAUUGACGGGG